ACAUUGGUGGUUCAGUGGUAGAAUGCUCGCCUCAUUCGCGGGUGGCCCGGGCCGAUUUCCGGCCGAUGUA
Molecule: transfer RNA, 70 nt
Filed under: Trichonephila inaurata madagascariensis
Lineage: Eukaryota; Metazoa; Arthropoda; Arachnida; Araneae; Nephilidae
Rfam family: tRNA
About the family: Transfer RNA (tRNA) molecules are approximately 80 nucleotides in length.
Source: Rfam by way of RNAcentral